CCCUUUGGGUGUGACUGCGUACCUUUUGUAUAAUGGGUCAGCGACUUAUAUUCUGUAGCAAGGUUAACCGAAUAGGGGAGCCGGAGGGAAACCGAGUCUUAACCGGGCGUUAAGUUGCAGGGUAUAGACCCGAAACCCGGUGAUCUAGCCAUGGGCAGGUUGAAGGUUGGGUAACACUAACUGGAGGACCGAACCGACUAAUGUUGAAAAAUUAGCGGAUGACCUGUGGCUGGGGGUGAAAGGCCAAUCAAACCGGGAGAUAGCUGGUUCUCCCCGAAAGCUAUUUAGGUAGCGCCUCGUGAAUUCAUCUCCGGGGGUAGAGCACUGUUUCGGCUAGGGGGCCAUCCCGGCUUACCAACCCGAUGCAAACUGCGAAUACCGGAGAAUGUUAUCACGGGAGACACACGGCGGGUGCUAACGUCCGUCGUGAAGAGGGAAACAACCCAGACCGCCAGCUAAGGUCCCAAAGUCAUGGUUAAGUGGGAAACGAUGUGGGAAGGCCCAGACAGCCAGGAUGUUGGCUUAGAAGCAGCCAUCAUUUAAAGAAAGCGUAAUAGCUCACUGGUCGAGUCGGCCUGCGCG
Molecule: ribosomal RNA, 582 nt
Filed under: Salmonella enterica subsp. enterica serovar Enteritidis
Lineage: Bacteria; Pseudomonadati; Pseudomonadota; Gammaproteobacteria; Enterobacterales; Enterobacteriaceae
Description: partial 23S ribosomal RNA
Rfam family: Bacterial large subunit ribosomal RNA
Source: RNAcentral